UGCUUGUUCCCCGCCACCCUCACCGCAAUUCUGAUCGGAAAGAACUUCUGGUUGCUUCUUCAGCUGCUUCAUUGCCUUAAGGGUCUAAAACAGGACUCAGGAGAACAAGGUAGUGGUGUUCAUUUGAACAAAGGCAAUGAAGCAGCUGAAGAAGUACAGCAGGCAAGAGCAAAAAUCUACAAGUUGUGUGCUGACUGUUCUUUGCUAUUGGAGAGUUGCGUGAAGGAUGUGUAGUGUUGAGCAUCGAUGUA
This 251-nucleotide long non-coding RNA is filed under the name Selaginella moellendorffii. RNAcentral describes it as "long non-coding RNA (SMOE_LNC002422)". Lineage: Eukaryota; Viridiplantae; Streptophyta; Lycopodiopsida; Selaginellales; Selaginellaceae. The record is from RNAcentral.